RNAcentral lists this ribosomal RNA (478 nucleotides) under uncultured bacterium. RNAcentral describes it as "partial 16S ribosomal RNA". It matches the Rfam family "Bacterial small subunit ribosomal RNA", at positions 28 to 506 of the family's 1533-position model. The record is from RNAcentral.
GAUGAACGCUAGCGGGAGGCCUAACACAUGCAAGCCGAGCGGUAUUUGUUCUUCGGAACAGAGAGAGCGGCGCACGGGUGCGGAACACGUGUGCAACCUGCCUUUAUCUGGGGGAUAGCCUUUCGAAAGGAAGAUUAAUACCCCAUAAUAUAUUGAGUGGCAUCACUUGAUAUUGAAAACUCCGGUGGAUAGAGAUGGGCACGCGCAAGAUUAGAUAGUUGGUGAGGUAACGGCUCACCAAGUCAAUGAUCUUUAGGGGGCCUGAGAGGGUGACCCCCCACACUGGUACUGAGACACGGACCAGACUCCUACGGGAGGCAGCAGUGAGGAAUAUUAGACAAUGGGUUAGCGCCUGAUCCAGCCAUCCCGCGUGAAGGACGACGGCCCUAUGGGUUGUAAACUUCUUUUGUAUAGGGAUAAACCUACUCUCGUGAGAGUAGCUGAAGGUACUAUACGAAUAAGCACCGGCUAACUCCGU